AGCGAACGCCGGCGGCAGGCUUAACACAUGCAAGUCGAGCGGGCAUAGCAAUAUGUCAGCGGCAGACGGGUGAGUAACGCGUGGAACGUACCUUUUGGUUCGGAACAACACAGGGAAACUUGUGCUAAUACCGGAUAAGCCCUUACGGGGAAAGAUUUAUCGCCCUUAGACGGGCCCGCGUCGGAUUAGCUAGUUGGUGGGGUAACGGCCUACCAAGGCGACGAUCCGUAGCUGAUCUUAGAGGAUGAUCAGCCACACUGGGACUGAGACACGGCCCAGACUCCUACGGGAGGCAGCAGUGGGGAAUCUUGGACAAUGGGCGCAAGCCUGAUCCAGCCAUGCCGCGUGAGUGAAGAAGGUCUUCGGAUUGUAAAGCUCUUUUGCCAGGGACGAUAAUGACGGUACCUGGAGAAUAAGCCCCGGCAAACUUCGUGCCAGCCGCCGCCGUAA
RNAcentral lists this ribosomal RNA (450 nucleotides) under uncultured bacterium. Its description in RNAcentral is "partial 16S ribosomal RNA". It matches the Rfam family "Bacterial small subunit ribosomal RNA", at positions 29 to 523 of the family's 1533-position model. The record is from RNAcentral.